AGACAACUGUAUGGAGGAGAUUCAGAAGUGUUCAGGCCCUGAAACGACUUUUACCAUCAUUGUGGACACAAACCUGUCAGAACAUCAAGGAGGAUCCACAGGAUUGCAGGAUUUCCCAGUGUGAUUGGCUGCAUAGAUGCACACACAUCCCCAUCACAGCUCCCUCACAUCAUGAACAGGAAGUCCAUUCACAGCAUAAAUGUGCAGGUAGGCUACAGGUAGACUGACUACUGUUUCUAAAUGUUAAAGACUGCAUCAUAGUUCAACAUCUGUCAUUCUCUGCACUGUCCAGAUCAGAUGUGAUGCUGCAUGCAUCAUUUCUAAUGUGGAGGCCACGUGGUCUGGGUCUGUUCAUGACUCCAGGAUUUAUGGAGAGUCUAACCUGAGCAACAGACUGCAGCGUGGUCAGCAGCAUAAAGAUUUUCACAAUAGAAUUCUCUUGUCUCCCUCCUUUAAUAUGCUCUGAUGUAUCCACUAUACAUUACAGGAGAGUUUGAUGGCCUUCUGCUGGGUGACAGGGGUUACCAUGACAACCCAGGCUGAUGACCUCAUACCCUGACCCUGAACCAGGCCCCCAACAGAACUUCAACCGGACUCACUGCAGGACCAGAGCCCGGGUGGAGAUGACCAUAGGCCUGCUGAAAGCCCGUUUCCAGAGCCUACGUCUCCUCAGGGUGACCCCUGAGAGGGCCUGUGAUAUUACUGUGGCAUGUGUUGUUCUUCAUAAUAUUACCACUAUUAGAGGAGAGCAACACCCUGCCCUACAAACUGAAGACCCAGAUGAUGAGCCCAUCCACCUGCAGCUAUCCAGGACAGCAGAGCAGUCAGAGACACCGUAUGCAAUAAUCACUUUAGAGUUUAAGUCUCCAUCAUCACCACCACAGCAAAUAAAGACAUGAUACACAUUU
Long non-coding RNA from Acanthochromis polyacanthus (spiny chromis), 908 nucleotides. RefSeq lists it as uncharacterized. The record is from RefSeq and is a predicted model, not a curated record. NCBI's taxonomy places the organism in Eukaryota, Metazoa, Chordata, Actinopteri, Pomacentridae. The transcript has 2 exons.